UCGGUCCCUAUCUGCCGUGGGCGCUGGAGAAUUGAGGGGGGCUGCUCCUAGUACGAGAGGACCGGAGUGGACGCAUCACUGGUGUUCGGGUUGUCAUGCCAAUGGCACUGCCCGGUAGCUAAAUGCGGAAGAGAUAAGUGCUGAAAGCAUCUAAGCACGAAACUUGCCCCGAGAUGAUUUCUCCCUGAGACUUUAAGUCUCCUGAAGGAACGUUGAAGACGACGACGUUGAUAGGCCGGGUGUGUAAGCGCAGCGAUGCGUUGAGCUAACCGGUACUAAUGAACCGUGAGGCUUAACCUUA
Molecule: ribosomal RNA, 301 nt
Filed under: Klebsiella quasipneumoniae
Lineage: Bacteria; Pseudomonadati; Pseudomonadota; Gammaproteobacteria; Enterobacterales; Enterobacteriaceae
Also listed under: 1 other name
Description: partial 23S rRNA. Bacterial LSU
Rfam family: Bacterial large subunit ribosomal RNA
Source: RNAcentral